GUGGGGAAUAUUGGACAAUGGAGGCAACUCUGAUCCAGCCAUGCCGCGUGUGUGAAGAAGGCCUUUUGGUUGUAAAGCACUUUAAGCGAGGAGGAGGCUUACCUGGUUAAUACCUGGGAUAAGUGGACGUUACUCGCAGAAUAAGCACCGGCUAACUCUGUGCCAGCAGCCGCGGUAAUACAGAGGGUGCAAGCGUUAAUCGGAUUUACUGGGCGUAAAGCGCGCGUAGGUGGCUAAUUAAGUCAAAUGUGAAAUCCCCGAGCUUAACUUGGGAAUUGCAUUCGAUACUGGUUAGCUAGAGUAUGGGAGAGGAUGGUAGAAUUCCAGGUGUAGCGGUGAAAUGCGUAGAGAUCUGGAGGAAUACCGAUGGCGAAGGCAGCCAUCUGGCCUAAUACUGACACUGAGGUGCGAAAGCAUGGGGAGCAAACAGGAUUAGAUACCCUUGUAGUCC
Molecule: ribosomal RNA, 451 nt
Filed under: uncultured bacterium
Lineage: Bacteria
Description: partial 16S ribosomal RNA
Rfam family: Bacterial small subunit ribosomal RNA
Source: RNAcentral